RNAcentral lists this ribosomal RNA (464 nucleotides) under uncultured bacterium. Its description in RNAcentral is "partial 16S ribosomal RNA". It matches the Rfam family "Bacterial small subunit ribosomal RNA", at positions 338 to 795 of the family's 1533-position model. The record is from RNAcentral.
CCUACGGGAGGCAGCAGUGGGGAAUCUUCCGCAAUGGGCGAAAGCCUGACGGAGCAACGCCGCGUGAUCGAAUGAAGGCCUUCGGGUUGUAAAGAUCUGUGUACAGGGACGAAUAAGCCAUGCUAAUAGUUUGGUGUAUGACGGUACCUGUUUAGAAAGCUCCGGCUAACUACGUGCCAUCAGCCGCGGUAAUACGUAGGGAGCAAGCGUUGUCCGGAAUUACUGGGCGUAAAGGGCGCGGAGGUGGGUGCUUAAGUCAGGUGUGAAAACUCUGGGCUCAACCUGGGGAAUGCACUUGAGACUGGGUAUCUUGAGGGCAGGAGAGGAAAGUGGAAUGUCUAGUGUAGCGGUGAAAUGCGUAGAUAUUAGGAGGAACACCAGUGGCGAAGGCGACUUUCUGGACUGUACCUGACGCUGAGGCGCGAAAGCGUGGGUAGCGAACGGGAUUAGAUACCCCGGUAGUC